Molecule: non-coding RNA, 54 nt
Organism: Salmo salar (Atlantic salmon)
Lineage: Eukaryota; Metazoa; Chordata; Actinopteri; Salmoniformes; Salmonidae
Source: Rfam
UAAUGAAAUGUAUGUAAGUCGCUCUGGAAAAGAGCAUCUGCUAAAUGACUAAAA